Molecule: ribosomal RNA, 209 nt
Filed under: Parabacteroides distasonis
Lineage: Bacteria; Pseudomonadati; Bacteroidota; Bacteroidia; Bacteroidales; Tannerellaceae
Description: partial 16S ribosomal RNA
Rfam family: Bacterial small subunit ribosomal RNA
Source: RNAcentral
CAAUUUAAACAACGAAGAGUUUGAUCCUGGCUCAGGAUGAACGCUAGCGACAGGCUUAACACAUGCAAGUCGAGGGGCAGCACAGGUAGCAAUACCGGGUGGCGACCGGCGCACGGGUGAGUAACGCGUAUGCAACUUACCUAUCAGAGGGGGAUAACCCGGCGAAAGUCGGACUAAUACCGCAUGAAGCAGGGGUCCCGCAUGGGGAU